CGGCGCCGCGGAGCGGGGUGCCGCCGAGCGCUCGGCGCGCUCGUCACGACCGCGGUUCGCGCCCGCGGACGCCGCC
This 76-nucleotide transfer RNA is filed under the name Clavibacter michiganensis. Its description in RNAcentral is "tRNA-Pro". Lineage: Bacteria; Bacillati; Actinomycetota; Actinomycetes; Micrococcales; Microbacteriaceae. The record is from RNAcentral.